GGUAAAAUAAAUUAUUUCCGGACACUUGACCGGAAACCCUGGCUGGGACAUCUAUGUCUAGCCAUAAUUCAGAAUAAUAUUAACACAUACAUAACACACUUUUUCAUAUUGUAAUUUCAAUGACAUUUAAAUGAAUUACGCAGCCCUCCAUCAUGACAUUUAAUAACAAGCUGAAAGUCAUUUAUAAUUUUCCUAAAUGAUUUGCAGUUUGUCAGACUCUACAUGUCGUUGUUGUUGUUCCUGAUUUUCACCAGCAGACAUCAGUAGAGGGGAUGUCUUUUGGCCUGUAGUCAUUUUGUUGUACCUCACAGGAGAUGUGUGUGUUCCCCUCCUGCAGUGUGAGCGGACAGGUGUGUGUUGUAGCUGUGUGUCGGGCAGCCUGGCUGCCUGCUGCCUCCUGAUGAAUGAAGAGCUCUCCGGGACACAGCUGAUGCAGGGCAUGCAGGUGUUUCUGAUAAUAUGAUGAAUUAUCCCCAAUGAGUCCCCAUAAAAUCACAAGAGCAGUUUGAGUCCCAACUCCAAGGUCCUGAUGCAGCGUAAUAUCGUGGGCUGCAGGAUCCAGCACGUGUGGAAGGAAGGGGAGCGGCAUGUGAUGUGGAAAGGAACCGUGCUGGAC
Long non-coding RNA from Notothenia coriiceps (black rockcod), 616 nucleotides. RefSeq lists it as uncharacterized. NCBI's taxonomy places the organism in Eukaryota, Metazoa, Chordata, Actinopteri, Perciformes, Nototheniidae. The record is from RefSeq and is a predicted model, not a curated record. The transcript is spliced from 3 exons.